This 253-nucleotide ribosomal RNA is filed under the name uncultured bacterium. RNAcentral's name for it is "partial 16S ribosomal RNA". It matches the Rfam family "Bacterial small subunit ribosomal RNA", at positions 524 to 776 of the family's 1533-position model. The record is from RNAcentral.
UACGUAGGGGGCAAGCGUUGUCCGGAUUUAUUGGGUUUAAAGGGUGCGUAGGCGGUCUUCUAAGUCAGUUGUGAAAUACUUCAGCUUAACUGGAGAGGUGCAAUUGAUACUGGAAGACUUGAGUACUGAUGAGGUAGGCGGAAUGGACGGUGUAGCGGUGAAAUGCUUAGAUAUCGUCCAGAACACCGAUAGCGAAGGCAGCUUACUAAGGAGUAACUGACGCUGAGGCACGAAAGUGUGGGGAUCAAACAGG